UACGUAGGCAGCGAGCGUUGUUCGGAGUUACUGGGCGUAAAGAGUGCGUAGGCGGUUUUCUAAGUUUGGUGUGAAAUCUCCCGGCUCAACUGGGAGGGUGCGCCGAAGACUGGAAGGCUUGAGUAUGGGAGAGGUAAGCGGAAUUCCUGGUGUAGCGGUGAAAUGCGUAGAUAUCAGGAGGAACACCUGCGGUGUAGACGGCUUCUGGACCAUAACUGACGCUGAGGCACGAAAGCGUGGGUAGCAAACGG
RNAcentral lists this ribosomal RNA (251 nucleotides) under uncultured bacterium. RNAcentral's name for it is "partial 16S ribosomal RNA". It matches the Rfam family "Bacterial small subunit ribosomal RNA", at positions 524 to 775 of the family's 1533-position model. The record is from RNAcentral.